GCCGAUUCCUCUGCCCUAAAACUUCUAUUCAUACUUCAAAAAAAACUAAAAACCCCUAAUCCAUUAACUCACCAGAAAUUCUCCAUUUCUUCUGCAAAUUUCAUCAAACAAAAACAGCAUUUCACACUCAUCAUCUACACAUCCUCAUGAACUACUUCAACAAGCUCAAUAAUGCUAAAACCCAGAUGUAACAAAAAUUACUUGAAAAAAAUCACAGAAAAUUCUACAAAAAGCUUAACGAAACCGCAAUUUGCAGAGACAAAAACACGGUAGGUAAAAAAUUAGAGAGAGAAAUCAA
This 298-nucleotide unclassified non-coding RNA is filed under the name Hevea brasiliensis (rubber tree). Lineage: Eukaryota; Viridiplantae; Streptophyta; Magnoliopsida; Malpighiales; Euphorbiaceae. The record is from RNAcentral.